RNAcentral lists this long non-coding RNA (723 nucleotides) under Nicotiana benthamiana. Its description in RNAcentral is "long non-coding RNA (NBEN_LNC039923)". The record is from RNAcentral. Lineage: Eukaryota; Viridiplantae; Streptophyta; Magnoliopsida; Solanales; Solanaceae.
GAUCUUCUUCCUUCGGAACCAAAACCAGUCCUACCCCCACCCCCAACCCUAUUCAUCUUCUUCCGUCUGCCUUUCUUCUGCGUCUCCUCCCUUUUUCCUAAUCCACUCUCCAUCCAACUAAUUAAACACAUAUCUUUCCAUUAGACCCCUUCCCCUUUCCACCUUCUUCUCCAACAUGUCCUACACUCAAAAUUUAUCCGUCGUACUUGAAAUUUAACUGCAAAUCUUUCUAUAAAACUAAUACAAAUAUAAAAUAAAAGAUAAUAUCCAAAGCAGAGUAUCCACUAUGGAAUCAUUGACCGACCUCGUCGAAAAAAGCUCAUCUCUUUCCUCUGAAAAUUAAUCUCCCAUCAAAGCCGAAAGAAAUGAUUCUAUUGAAAAAGUUAAAAGGAGGGCCAGUGGCUGAUGCUGAGAUCUUUGCGGAGACACAUAAGAAGAAAUAAGACGGUUUAAGGGAAGGAUGGGUUGAGACACGUGCAUCGGAACAAUAUGUAACAUCAUAACUUUAAGACUAUUUUUACAGUUUUUAGCUAAAAUUGUCCCUUAUCUUCGGGAUUAAAUCUAAUUUUGUCCUCAUACUUCCUUGAGGCACAUUGAAACUUGCCAUCUUUGAAUACUACAUUUCCUCCGUUCUUAGUUUUAUCACAUGCUUCAAUUUUUCUCUUUUGUAUCCAUCUUCCAAAAUGGUUUCUCCUGUAUAAAUCAAGAAAAUGGUUUUUAAAA